GUGGGGAAUAUUGCGCAAUGGGGGAAACCCUGACGCAGCGACGCCGUGUGAGGGAAGAAGGCUUUCGGGUCGUAAACCUCUGUCAGAAAGGAAGAACCUCCCAAGUCCGAAUAGGGCUUGGGACUGACGGUACUUUCAAAGGAAGCACCGGCUAACUCCGUGCCAGCAGCCGCGGUAAUACGGAGGGUGCAAGCGUUAAUCGGAAUCACUGGGCGUAAAGCGCGCGUAGGCCGCUUUGUAAGUCGGACGUGAAAGCCCUCGGCUCAACCGGGGAACUGCGGUCGAUACUGCGAGGCUUGAGUCCUGGAGAGGGUGGCGGAAUUCCGGGUGUAGGAGUGAAAUCCGUAGAUAUCCGGAGGAACACCGGUGGCGAAGGCGGCCACCUGGACAGGUACUGACGCUGAGGCGCGAAAGCGUGGGGAGCAAACAGGAUUAGAAACCCGAGUAGUCC
This 451-nucleotide ribosomal RNA is filed under the name uncultured bacterium. RNAcentral's name for it is "partial 16S ribosomal RNA". It matches the Rfam family "Bacterial small subunit ribosomal RNA", at positions 354 to 796 of the family's 1533-position model. The record is from RNAcentral.